GAUGAAGGCUGGCGGCGUGCUUAAGACAUGCAAGUCGAACGGAAAGCCCCCAGCUUGCUGGGGUACUCGAGUGGCGAAGGGGUGAGUAACAGGAGGGUGUUCUGCCCUGCCCUUUGGGAUGAGGUUGGCAAACUGGGACAAAUGCCAAUACUGCCUAAUAUUUGAAACUGGGGGUGGAAGAUUUUUGCGGUGUGGGAUGCGCCUGCGGCCUAUCAGCUUGUUGGUGGGGUAAUGGCCUACCAAGGCGGCGACGGGUAGCCGGCCUGAGAGGGGGUACGGACACAUUGGGACUGAGAUACGGCCCAGACUCCUACGGGAGGCAGCAGUGGGGAAUAUUGCACAAUGGGCGCAAGCCUGAUGCAGCGACGCCGCGUGGGGGAUGAAGGCCUUCGGGUUGUAAACUCCUUUCGCUAUCGACGAAGCCACUUGUGGUGACGGUAGGUAGAUAAGAAGCACCGGCUAACUACGUGCCAGCCGCCGCCGUAA
RNAcentral lists this ribosomal RNA (486 nucleotides) under uncultured bacterium. Its description in RNAcentral is "partial 16S ribosomal RNA". It matches the Rfam family "Bacterial small subunit ribosomal RNA", at positions 28 to 523 of the family's 1533-position model. The record is from RNAcentral.